RNAcentral lists this ribosomal RNA (766 nucleotides) under Staphylococcus aureus. RNAcentral describes it as "bacterial SSU rRNA". It matches the Rfam family "Bacterial small subunit ribosomal RNA", at positions 28 to 776 of the family's 1533-position model. Lineage: Bacteria; Bacillati; Bacillota; Bacilli; Caryophanales; Staphylococcaceae. The record is from RNAcentral.
GAUGAACGCUGGCGGCGUGCCUAAUACAUGCAAGUCGAGCGAACGGACGAGAAGCUUGCUUCUCUGAUGUUAGCGGCGGACGGGUGAGUAGCACGUGGAUAACCUACCUAUAAGACUGGGAUAACUUCGGGAAACCGGAGCUAAUACCGGAUAAUAUUUUGAACCGCAUGGUUCAAAAGUAAAAGACGGUCUUGCUGUCACUUAUAGAUGGAUCCGCGCUGCAUUAGCUAGUUGGUAAGGUAACGGCUUACCAAGGCAACGAUGCAUAGCCGACCUGAGAGGGUGAUUGGCCACACUGGAACUGAGACACGGUCCAGACUCCUACGGGAGGCAGCAGUAGGGAAUCUUCCGCAAUGGGCGAAAGCCUGACGGAGCAACGCCGCGUGAGUGAUGAAGGUCUUCGGAUCGUAAAACUCUGUUAUUAGGGAAGAACAUAUGUGUAAGUAACUGUGCACAUCUUGACGGUACCUAAUCAGAAAGCCACGGCUAACUACGUGCCAGCAGCCGCGGUAAUACGUAGGUGGCAAGCGUUAUCCGGAAUUAUUGGGCGUAAAGCGCGCGUAGGCGGUUUUUUAAGUCUGAUGUGAAAGCCCACGGCUCAACCGUGGAGGGUCAUUGGAAACUGGAAAACUUGAGUGCAGAAGAGGAAAGUGGAACUCCAUGUGUAGCGGUGAAAUGCGCAGAGAUAUGGAGGAACACCAGUGGCGAAGGCGACUUUCUGGUCUGUAACUGACGCUGAUGUGCGAAAGCGUGGGGAUCAAACAGG